CUGUAGAAUGAGACCAAAGCAAGACUGAAUUCUCAGGCCCAGAGCCCAGCUGGAACUGGUGGCAGCGCUAAGGCUCUAUAAGCUUUUGUACCCCAAGUCUCCACAAGGAUGUACAACCGUAAGACUCUUCUUUCAUCACAGAAGGGUUGGACAACAGAGUCUUCUCACCAAACAUUCUUGAGCCUCUGCAAGUGGAGGUUAGAGGAAGCAGUGUUUUUGACAGAAAUCUGUUGAAGGCCUUGAAAAAGCAACUUGCUCUGCGAUACGAAUGAAAAGGAGAAAUCCAUGCAAAUAGGACACUGGUAAAGAGCCCUUCAAAAAAGAAGACAGACACAUGUGACUCAACCCUGCUGGCCUUGCCAAGAAGUCUAGACCCAAGAGUCUCCCUGUGGAGGGGGUAAUCCUGCUGCUGCCGCUGUUUCCUCAUCAGCCUUGGCGGAGCCCGGACUCUACCGAGAGACCUCUCUAGUCAGAGGAUUUCAGUUGCUUGCGAGCAACAACUUCUCCCUCAACAACUGCCCCCCAGCACUCUGGUAUGUAUAUAUAUGGGGGUAUGUGGGUAUAUUGAAGCCAAAGAUUGAUGUUGGGUGUCUUUUUCAAUUGUUCUCUACCUUAUUUUUAAAAUAUUUAUUCAUUUUUAUUGAGCUAUAUAUUUCCCCCCUCCCCUUCCCUCCUCCUCUCCCCUCUUCCAUCUUGCCCCUGCCCCCAUGCUCCCAAUUUACUCAGGAGAGCUUGUCUAUUUCCCCUUCCUAGGUGCAUCUAUGUGUGUCUCUUUAGGGGUCAUCUAGGUUCUCUGGGGUUGUGGACUGUAGGCUGGUUGUCCUUUGCUUUAUAUCUAGUAUCCACUUAUGAGUAAGUACAUAUAUUUGUCUUUCUGGGUCUGGGUUAUCUCAGGAUAUUUGCAGGCAAAUGGAUGGAACUAAAAUAUUUAUUUUUAUGUCCAUGAGUGUUUAAUUACAUUUAUGUCUAUGAAACAUAUGUAUGCAGUGCCAAAGUUGUUCAGAAGAGGGCAUUAGGUAUUCUGGAACAGGAGUUACAGACAGCUGGGCGCUGCCAUGUGGGUUGUGGGAACUGAACCUAGGUCCUCUGUAA
Mesocricetus auratus (golden hamster) is the source of this 1092-nucleotide long non-coding RNA. RefSeq lists it as uncharacterized. NCBI's taxonomy places the organism in Eukaryota, Metazoa, Chordata, Mammalia, Rodentia, Cricetidae. The record is from RefSeq and is a predicted model, not a curated record. The transcript has 4 exons.